Molecule: ribosomal RNA, 294 nt
Filed under: Triticum aestivum (bread wheat)
Lineage: Eukaryota; Viridiplantae; Streptophyta; Magnoliopsida; Poales; Poaceae
Description: partial small subunit ribosomal RNA
Source: RNAcentral
AUGAAAGUUAGCUUCAAAUGGUCCAGUGUCCUUACCACACACAAUUCAGAACACCACAUUCAAACAUUUUGGCAAUUUCCUUGGCUCCUUCCGAAAAUCUCCUCUAUCAAGACAUGUUGUGCUUUUGCACUCCACAAAUCUUGCAAACGCAGACCUCUUCAAAUGUUGUUCAUAAGGCAGUUUAUCCUAACCCUUAUGGUCCAACCGCUGGUGGCCUCUGAGCAAACAUCAAAGUCGACGUCUCUGCACAGCUGUGUGCCCUCGCCGUCGCGGCCCAACUGGAAUCGGCGAUGA